Molecule: ribosomal RNA, 472 nt
Filed under: uncultured organism
Description: partial 16S ribosomal RNA
Rfam family: Bacterial small subunit ribosomal RNA
Source: RNAcentral
ACACUCCUACGGGAGGCAGCAGUGGGGAAUUUUGGACAAUGGGCGAAAGCCUGAUCCAGCAAUGCCGCGUGAGUGAAGAAGGCCUUCGGGUUGUAAAGCUCUUUUGUCAGGGAAGAAACGGUGAGAGCUAAUAUCUUUUGCUAAUGACGGUACCUGAAGAAUAAGCACCGGCUAACUACGUGCCAGCAGCCGCGGUAAUACGUAGGGUGCAAGCGUUAAUCGGAAUUACUGGGCGUAAAGCGUGCGCAGGCGGUUUUGUAAGUCUGAUGUGAAAUCCCCGGGCUCAACCUGGGAAUUGCAUUGGAGACUGCGAGGCUAGAAUCUGGCAGAGGGGGGUAGAAUUCCACGUGUAGCAGUGAAAUGCGUAGAUAUGUGGAGGAACACCGAUGGCGAAGGCAGCCCCCUGGGUCAAGAUUGACGCUCAUGCACGAAAGCGUGGGGAGCAAACAGGAUUAGAUACCCCUGUAGUCCU